This 253-nucleotide ribosomal RNA is filed under the name uncultured bacterium. RNAcentral's name for it is "partial 16S ribosomal RNA". It matches the Rfam family "Bacterial small subunit ribosomal RNA", at positions 524 to 776 of the family's 1533-position model. The record is from RNAcentral.
UACGGAGGGGGCUAGCGUUGUUCGGAAUUACUGGGCGUAAAGCGCACGUAGGCGGACCAGCAAGUUAGGGGUGAAAUCCCGGGGCUCAACCCCGGAACUGCCUUUAAAACUGUUGGUCUGGAGGUCGAGAGAGGUGAGUGGAAUUCCGAGUGUAGAGGUGAAAUUCGUAGAUAUUCGGAGGAACACCAGUGGCGAAGGCGGCUCACUGGUCCAUUACUGACGCUGAGGUGCGAAAGCGUGGGGAGCAAACAGG